GAGCACAGUUGCUAGAGCAUGAGACUCUUAAUCUCAGGAUUUUGGGUUCGAGCUCCACGUUGGACA
Non-coding RNA from Podarcis lilfordi (Lilford's wall lizard), 66 nucleotides. The record is from the annotation of a GenBank genome assembly. NCBI's taxonomy places the organism in Eukaryota, Metazoa, Chordata, Lepidosauria, Squamata, Lacertidae.